This 568-nucleotide ribosomal RNA is filed under the name Lumbrineridae environmental sample. RNAcentral's name for it is "SSU rRNA". It matches the Rfam family "Eukaryotic small subunit ribosomal RNA", at positions 590 to 1162 of the family's 1831-position model. Lineage: Eukaryota; Metazoa; Annelida; Polychaeta; Eunicida; Lumbrineridae. The record is from RNAcentral.
UCCAAUAGCGUAUAUUAAAGUUGUUGCAGUUAAAAAGCUCGUAGUUGGAUCUCGGGUCCAGGCUGGCGGUCCACCUCGCGGUGGUUACUGCCUGUCCUGACCUACCUCCCGGUUCUCUCUUGGUGCUCUUGACUGAGUGUCUCGAGUGGCCGGAACGUUUACUUUGAAAAAAUUAGAGUGUUCAAAGCAGGCAAUUCGCCUGAAUAAUGGUGCAUGGAAUAAUGGAAUAGGACCUCGGUUCUAUUUUGUUGGUUUUCGGAACUCGAGGUAAUGAUUAAGAGGGACAGACGGGGACAUUCGUAUUACGGUGUUAGAGGUGAAAUUCUUGGAUCGCUGUAAGACGAACUACUGCGAAAGCAUUUGUCAAGAAUGUUUUCAUUAAUCAAGAACGAAAGUUAGAGGUUCGAAGACGAUCAGAUACCGUCCUAGUUCUGACCAUAAACGAUGCCAACUAGCGAUUCGCCGGCGUUGUUCAAGUGACCCGGCGGGCAGCUUCCGGGAAACCAAAGCUUUUGGGUUCCGGGGGAAGUAUGGUUGCAAAGCUGAAACUUAAAGGAAUUGACGGAAG